Molecule: transfer RNA, 73 nt
Filed under: bacterium
Lineage: Bacteria
Also listed under: 2 other names
Description: tRNA-Thr
Rfam family: tRNA
About the family: Transfer RNA (tRNA) molecules are approximately 80 nucleotides in length. Their secondary structure includes four short double-helical elements and three loops (D, anti-codon, and T loops).
Source: RNAcentral
GCCAUCUUAGCUCAGUUGGUAGAGCGACGGUAUCGUAAACCGUAGGUCAUCAGUUCGAUCCUGAUAGAUGGCU